Long non-coding RNA from Pseudopipra pipra, 5185 nucleotides. RefSeq lists it as uncharacterized. The transcript is spliced from 5 exons. The record is from RefSeq and is a predicted model, not a curated record. Lineage: Eukaryota; Metazoa; Chordata; Aves; Passeriformes; Pipridae.
GUGUGACUGUAUCAGUUUCUGUAAUUCAUUCUCAUUCCUGAUUUCCCCCAGGCACUGAGGCAGUUCUUCUUCCUAAUGCUUCGUUGUACCAGCUAAUACUGUAAUAACAAUUUGUGCUUCAGUAGCACCUUUACACUGAAAUAGUCAAAAGUAGGCCCCAGGAAUUUAUAUCAUGUCACGCAUCUUUCUCCAGUAACAUUAGAUGGUUUUUGCAGCUGGUUGUAUUUACAGGAGCCCCAGUCAAUCCCCCUCCAGCAGUUCUGGCACUUCAGUAGUUCUGUCUCAGUGAGAAUUAUGAACAAGGAUAAAAGCUCUCCAGCAGAGCAUCCCAAGGGAGACAGUGUUCCAAGGCCUUUCAUUUCGGGGAGUCAUGUCAUGUUGACAAACCAGGUCUAACAGCCACAUCUCCUGGGGUGCUCACUGGGAAACGGGGUUCUGUGCAUAUCUUUUGUUCUCUGAAAGUUUGUGCCUUGAAGAGAUUUGGGGGUUCAGGUUGUGCUAUGUGGACUGUUUAAGAUUUACACCUGCUGAAAAAGAAGCAAGAAGGAGAAGGAAGGAAUAUUUAAUUAAACCUUUUUUAAAGAGAAGCUAAGAGGGGCCUUUUGUCCCUUUUUUUUUUUCUUUUCCUCCCCCUUGCAGUUUGUCUCUUGUUUCAGAUGAAUGAAAGCAUCUGUAUGUACCUGAAAACAUGGGGUGUUCAUGGCUGAGCUCAUGAAUCUUAUGUACUGUGAGACUUUGAUGAACUGAUAUUUACCGUGAUUUAUCAUUUUUUAGUUAUCUAAGGGAGAAAUUUUAUUUUCAGAUGAACUGAGAUGUCCACAUUUUAUAUCAUGCCUUAGGCAACUCUUUAACUAUUCAUGGGGAUCAAGUGGUUAAUUCUGUUGAAGUUUGGUUCGGUUUUUAAGUGGCCGUAGCAGCGUCCUGUCUGUUCUCCCACUGGCGUGGGUGGGUGUAGGAUCCUGCAUCCCGGCAGCUCCCGCAGUCCCUGCGGAUACUCCGCUGCGCUGGUGUGGAACCCAACCCCCCCAACCUCUCCUUGUUGAUUUUGCGGCUGAUGUUGGAAUCUGUGCCCUGAGCUGCAGAUGGAAGUGUGUUUCAAACAGCACAGCCAGUUAUUCAUUUGCUUGUUCCUUGUAGCCACGAGAUCUUUGUGUUGUGGCUUUAAAAGGAAAAAAAGGAGCAGCAGCAGCAGCUGUGCUGGUGUGAGCAGCAACCAGGAGCGGUGACACGCGUCGAGCCGGCGGAUAAAACACAACGGUGGAUAAAACAGACCAGCUCAGGGGGCCUCUACAGGGCUGCAGAAAUCCCUCAGCAAUUUUGGCUAUGUCUGCAGAUCUGUAAGAGAGGAAAAUACAAGCACACCAGGUCUGGUAUAACUGUGCAGCCUCUUGCCUCCACAGCAUCCAUCUCCCUCAGGCAGCAGAUGGAUCUGGGCAUUCCAUUCCUCCCAUGCUGUUCCACAGGGAUUCUUCCCUGGCUCAGCUGUAGUUUUGAGGCGCAUUUUGCCAAAAGGUAAUCAAUGGCAGUACAGUGAUAAUAUUUAAAGCUUUAAAAUAUACAUUGCAUGAAUGACAACGAUUGAUAAAUGUUCCACAGGCUUCCGUUUGCUCCUCAUCUCCCACCCCCUGACCUGCCACCUUCCUGCUGGCCUGACCAACAGGCACUGCUUACUUGCACCUGCUGUACUGGUUGGAAUAUGUGACAGUGCUGCUUGCAGAGACAACCCCUGAUUCCUGCUUUAUCUACUUGAUGCUGACAGCACUGCAUUUCUCCACCCGUCUGUUUGGAGAGCUUGGAAGAGAUAAGGGAGUCAGGGAUCAAUGGGAGGCAGCAGUGUGAGGGGCCAGGAAAUAAGAGUAGGGGAUCAGCUGCAUGAUGAGCAGGAGAAAAUACUGUAUGAAUAUUAAAUGUUGUGAGUGGCUACGAUAAAGCUCAUGUAUUCACAGAGUGCAGAUUAGAUAUCUUCACUUUAUAGAAAGAGAGGGAAAAGUUAUGUUUGAUAAAACUCUUUAGGGACACCAAAGGAACUGAUUUUUUUAAUCAUUAUUUUUGAAACUGAUAUAUAAGCCUUUUCUGUGGGUAGGGUGGGGUUUUUUAAAUGCCUAACAGAAUGGCAGUGCCAUUUUAUGAUUCAUCAUAUUUGUCACAUUUCUCUUAUUUUAUUCCAACUCUGAACAAAAAUAUGUGAGAGAAAGUUCUGCUCCUUUUCUUUUGUUUGUAGAAGUCAUGGUGCAUUUGAGUGGAAAGUACAGCAUUUAUGAUUUUUUUUUUAUUACCUGUUCAGAAAAGGUAUUAAUGAAUGAUCAGAUAUGCCAGUAAAUCCCAGCUACCAGCACAGCCCAGUCUGGACCUACUGGUGAGAGCCAAGUUUUCUUCUGAGAGGGAAAAGGAGGUGCUGGGGUCUGCAGGCAAAGUUUGGGUGAAGUUUCCAGCCCAGGAGGGGAAGUGGUGACCCUGAAAGUCAGUGCUGUGUGUGGGAGGUUUUAAAACUCGAUUAAAAAAUGGCUGAAUUAGCUUGUAUGUGCCCAAGUAACGAGCCCUCUGGCAGUGGAGCAGGACAGUGACAAGUCAUGAGGGCAGUUAUGAGCCAAGGUAGGGCCACACAAUAAAGAAGCGUUUUGUAGGAAGAAACUUUUGGUAUGUUGAUUGUUAAUUUAUCCCUUCCCUCUGUAAGUGCUGCAACAUUUCUGCCACUUUCACUUUGUUUUCUUUUUAGGUUCCUUUUGCUUGACUUCAAUACAUGAGGAGGUGGCAAUUGACAGCAGGAUGUGGUGUUUGUUAAACACUGAGCUCCAAUAACAAAUAUGGGACUCAGCAGUGUUUUGUUGUAGUUACAAGAAGAAGGAAAGCAUCAUUUUGCCUGAAAGUCUGCAGUGGUACGAGGAGAAAUACAGGAGAAAGCUGUUGUCACACUGUGAACAUGAUUGAUUCCAUAAGUAACUCCCUUGGCAAACCUCUGAGGCUUCACUGAUGUCAGUUAGUGCUUCCUCCUGCACACGAGGGCAUGUCCAGUUUAGACUGAUGGACUGAGAUGUGAAAAGAAGUUCUCUUGACCUAUUUGGUAAAUUGUCCUCUUUUUAACCUCCUUUCACGGAGAAAAUGUGUUUGCCUUGAGUUUCCUUGCUUCUGCAUGUCUUCAUUGCCUUCAGAAUUCCAUGGCUGAACUUCACUGGUAUCCUUUUAUUGAGGAAAGAGAGUUUAAUAUGCCCAGCUGGAAGAAGAGAAGACCUCAGACUGCAAAUUUUUUACAAGAGAUGAAGGAAUCAUCCUGACUAAGGAAAUGUUGAUGGUGAAAAUCACGGAGGAAUAUGGGUAGGCUGGGGAACAGCACCUUCCUGUGCAUCGGUGCUGUAAUCCCUAGAGACUGAGAACUGGGUGAGGGAGUGCAGAGCAGCAGAACCAAAAUAGCCCUGGUUGCCAUGAGGACACAAGUCCUUGCCAAGUCACCCGGUUGCUUUGUAUCUCAUCGAGGGAGGUGUAAGCACACCCCAUGUGCUGUUUAAUUCCAUGGGGAGAGGUUUCCUUCCCCAGAGCUGCUGCAGCCAAGGAGUGUUACUGCUCCAGUCCCUCACUGCUGCAGUUCUGGUCACUGUGUUGGGAAUAUUUGGUUAUUGCACCCUGCCAACAUGAUUAUUUUCAGCUGUAAAUACUUGCCUCAGUAGAGGUUUUCCAUAUAUUUGAAUUCUUUCUGAAGGUAUUUCUCUCCCAUUGCUGCUGCAUAGAAGAAACCUGGAAGGGAAGGGAUCAGGUGCAAGUAAAGCUCCUGAUGUGUCUUGCAGGCUUCUGCUCCUUCAGUUCCUCACACAGCAUUGGGAUAGUUUUAUUUUACACUUUCCAUUUAACCUUCAGAUCAUCAAAACCCAUCUUUGCCACCUGCACUGAGUGGGGAUAAUUCCACACUGUACAAACAGCCCCACUGAUGUUUGUGUUUGCUUGCUGGGGGGGAUUUGAACCCAUUACUUUAAAGCACAGUGAUGGGAUUUGUGCUUUUCAGUUUUGUUUUAUUUUCCCAGAUGUGAUGUAAACUCUCUGUGGACUCUUCCUUGUGCUAUGCCCGAGUGCUGUGGUCCUGCUUAUUUCAGUGUUCAGUGGUCUCAGCUCUCCUGUUCUGAAGGCAAAUGAACAUGGUGCUGUACAGGUGUGUGUGGUGCUGUACAGGUGUGUGUGGUGCUGUACAGGUGUGUGUGGUGCUGCACAGCCCAGCCAUGGGCCGUGGCCAGGUACCAGUCCCCUGGGGCUGUGCUUCCCUGGCUGUGCUUGGAGCCCAACAGGGUCCGUAGGAAAUGGGCCUAUUUUGUGUUAGCACAGCAGAACAAAACACUUUCUUUCAUCUUUCUUGUUUUGAUUGGUAACUGAUUCUUGUGAAUUUGGACUCUGAAUACUGAGCAGUAAAUAUUUAUGAAAUGUAAUGGCCAAGACUAAAUACAGUCAUUAGCAUAUUUAUUUUUAUUGAGUUGUUGCUUUGUGUGCCUGAGGAAAUUAUCAAAUUGCUUCUAUUUGAACUGCUAUGUACAAUUUUAGGACUGUCAUUUUUAGUCUCGCAUCACUCUGGAUUUUGGAAUUAGAGUAGGGAGCAUUUGUGUCCUCCCCCAGCCUCAAAAUAGAAGUUUAUGAAUAAUGAAAGUUGAGUAAAAUCCAGUCCAGGUUGCCCAUUUGCAUCCUGCUCGGUGCCAGGAACAAGAGGUGAAGGUUUCUUCUGGGACUGUGGUGCUCUGUGUGAGGCCCUGAAGAGUGGGCAGGGUGGUGGAACCACCUCAGCUCAUCUCCCAGGGCUUUGGGGGCCCUGGGCUGCAGGGGAGCAGCUCCAACCUGCUCCAGGUACUGCUCUGGGGUGCAUCCUUUGCUGGAGCCGAAGCCAUCCCACUGCUCCAGGUUAUCCCUGUGUUUCCCCUGGGAGCAGUCCAUGACUCGGAGGGCUAAGGAGCUCCUGUUCAGUGGGCAGGAGUGAUGGGGACACAGGGGUGUGAUGGAUUUGUUCCCUGGGGAGUGUGUGUGGUGUCACCAUAUCCAACAUUCCAGUGAUCCCAGUGAGUGGUUGACUUCACCCAUCUCUAACUUCUUUCAGGAAUAACUUGCCUUUGUUUUUUUCUCUGUGGGUCUUUUCGUUCCUUCUUGCUGCAUACUGGCAUACCAAGGUAAAGAUAAACAUUUUCAGAUACAGAAAAUAAAUGGACCGGAACUUAUA